CGUGUAGGCGGUCAGGUAAGUGGGGGUGUGAAAGCCCCCGGCUCACCCGGGGAUCUGCAUUCCAAACUGCCUGGCUUGAGUACGGGAGAGGAUGAGGGAAUUCCUGGUGUAGCGGUGAAAUGCGUAGAUAUCAGGAGGAACACCGGUGGCGAAGGCGCUCAUCUGGCCCGAUACUGACGCUGAGGCGCGAAAGCUAGGGGAGCAAACG
Molecule: ribosomal RNA, 208 nt
Filed under: uncultured bacterium
Lineage: Bacteria
Description: partial 16S ribosomal RNA
Rfam family: Bacterial small subunit ribosomal RNA
Source: RNAcentral